GACGAACGCUGGCGGCGUGCUUAACACAUGCAAGUCGAACGGUAAGGCCCUUCGGGGUACACGAGUGGCGAACGGGUGAGUAACACGUGGGUGAUCUGCCCUGCACUUCGGGAUAAGCCUGGGAAACUGGGUCUAAUACCGGAUAGGACCACUGCCUGCAUGGGUGGUGGUGGAAAGCUUUUGCGGUGUGGGAUGGGCCCGCGGCCCAUCAGCUUGUUGGUGGGGUGAUGGCCUACCAAGGCGACGACGGGUAGCCGGCCUGAGAGGGUGACCGGCCACACUGGAACUGAGAUACGGCCCAGACUCCUACGGGAGGCAGCAGUGGGGAAUAUUGUACAAUGGGCGCAAGCCUGAUGCAGCGACGCCGCGUGAGGGAUGACGGCCUUCGGGUUGUAAACCUCUUUCAGCACCGACGAAGCGCAAGUGACGGUAGGUGCAGAAGAAGGACCGGCCAACUACGUGCCAGCCGCCGCGGUAA
This 478-nucleotide ribosomal RNA is filed under the name uncultured bacterium. Its description in RNAcentral is "partial 16S ribosomal RNA". It matches the Rfam family "Bacterial small subunit ribosomal RNA", at positions 28 to 523 of the family's 1533-position model. The record is from RNAcentral.